RNAcentral lists this ribosomal RNA (431 nucleotides) under uncultured bacterium. Its description in RNAcentral is "bacterial SSU rRNA". It matches the Rfam family "Bacterial small subunit ribosomal RNA", at positions 355 to 796 of the family's 1533-position model. The record is from RNAcentral.
UCGAGGAUCUUCGGCAAUGGGCGCAAGCCUGACCGAGCGACGCCGCGUGUGCGAUGAAGGCCUUCGGGUUGUAAAGCACUGUCGAGAGAAAGAAAGCCGCAAGGUUGAUCGAUCUCUGGAGGAAGCACGGGCUAAGUUCGUGCCAGCAGCCGCGGUAAGACGAACCGUGCGAACGUUGUUCGGAUUCACUGGGCUUAAAGGGCGCGUAGGCGGGUGAUCAAGUCCGGGGUGAAAUCCUCCAGCUUAACUGGAGAAUAGCCUUGGAUACUGGUCGUCUUGAGGGAGGUAGGGGCAUGUGGAACUUCCGGUGGAGCGGUGAAAUGCGUAGAUAUCGGAAGGAACGCCGGUGGCGAAAGCGACGUGCUGGACCUCUUCUGACGCUGAGGCGCGAAAGCCAGGGGAGCAAACGGGAUUAGAUACCCCCGUAGUCC